This 484-nucleotide ribosomal RNA is filed under the name uncultured bacterium. RNAcentral describes it as "partial 16S ribosomal RNA". It matches the Rfam family "Bacterial small subunit ribosomal RNA", at positions 28 to 523 of the family's 1533-position model. The record is from RNAcentral.
GAUGAACGCUGGCGGCGUGCUUAACACAUGCAAGUCGAACGAUGAACCGGGUGCUUGCACUCGGGGAUUAGUGGCGAACGGGUGAGUAACACGUGAGCAACCUGCCCCUGACUCUGGGAUAAGCGCUGGAAACGGCGUCUAAUACUGGAUAUGUCCCGUCACCGCAUGGUGUGCGGGUGGAAAGAUUUUUCGGUUGGGGAUGGGCUCGCGGCCUAUCAGCUUGUUGGUGAGGUAAUGGCUCACCAAGGCGUCGACGGGUAGCCGGCCUGAGAGGGUGACCGGCCACACUGGGACUGAGACACGGCCCAGACUCCUACGGGAGGCAGCAGUGGGGUAUAUUGCACAAUGGCGGAAGCCUGAUGCAGCAACGCCGCGUGAGGGAUGACGGCCUUCGGGUUGUAAACCUCUUUUAGCAGGGAAGAAGCGAGAGUGACGGUACCUGCAGAAAAAGCACCGGCUAACUACGUGCCAGCCGCCGCCGUAA